This 85-nucleotide transfer RNA is filed under the name Felis catus (domestic cat). It matches the Rfam family "tRNA". Rfam says of the family: Transfer RNA (tRNA) molecules are approximately 80 nucleotides in length. Their secondary structure includes four short double-helical elements and three loops (D, anti-codon, and T loops). The record is from Rfam by way of RNAcentral. Lineage: Eukaryota; Metazoa; Chordata; Mammalia; Carnivora; Felidae.
GCCUGGGUGGCUCAGUCGGUUGAGCAUCUGACUUCGGCUCAGGUCAUGAUCGUGCAGUCUGUGAGUUUGAGCCCCGCGUCAGGCU